UCGUGAGAUGGACAUCGGAUACCUCGCCUCUUCAUCUCUCCCUUUCUCAUUUCUACGAACCCUAAUUUCCAGAUCGAUUCGUUACCCCUUUUGCUCUUCGUCUUCUUUGUUCUGUUCCUUUGCUCUUCCUCUUCUUUGUUUCGUUUCACGAUCUGACACACGAACAAUCCCCUUCCUCCAUCAGAACAUGCUUGGAAGUUCGACCAUCUCCAAUCUCUUGAACAAACACUAACUUAGAACUCUCUGAUGUUGUUGGCCAAGGGUCUGACCUGAACAACGUGUAGGAUUGUGGUCAGUUUUUUCAUUACCCCUACGGUGGUGGGGUAUGUGCCUUUAUAGGAUGACGCAGCAGCAAUGUUUAGGAGUCUCCUAAACUCAGAUGAUAAGACCCAGUCUGUCAUGGUGGUCAUAACUGUCAAUACAAAUAUAUUUGGAGAUAACCUCUAUCUGAUCUCCAUACUAGCAAUCAAGUUUUAUUUUGACACUGGCCUUCCCGCCAUUAAGGAGUUCACAACAAGCUUGGGAGGUGCUGCAGGAGAAGUUUUCCAGUGUGCUGAUACUAUGGACGAGAUCAAAAAAGAACGAACAUGUCUCAAUUCAAGAUCUACACCCUUUCAUUUCCAUCUCUAACGAGCAGGUAACACAGGAUUCCAACAUAUUUUGAAAUUUCUUUUUCAGCUUGAAAAUAUCAUUAGUAAAUGGUUACUCUUUUAUUGUCGUUAAGACACAAGCUGAUUUUAUUUGCAAGCUCGGUUUGUCGAGGUCCUCCACCAAACUGGCUGGUCGUUCGUCUCAUGGACCGGAUGCAGCAGUAAGUCGGACAAAUCUGGCACUUCUCUCUGUCACAACAAAAAUGUUUCUCCCAAUGAUACCGGGGUGAUCAGGUACCGUCUCGAACUAUCAAUUGACAAUGACAACGGCAUAGUGCUACGUUUGUGGUCUUCGACGGGGAGAUGACCAAGCUCACUAAGCAACAUGGAACGGCUCUGGCUCUUGAGGAGAUAAAUGGCGGUGGGGGCGGGAACUACCAAGAUGUCUUGAAGAGCUUGCUAGCAAGGAGUACGUUUUUCAGAGCUGUGUUACUCUAUACAAUUUCACCCGAACUACCGUACCUUCACAGUGUCUAUUGUCAGUGACAAUAGCUUCUUAGACCCCCACUCCGAGAGUUGCUUCAUCAACCAAACUCCAGUUGUUGAAGUGGAAGGUCGACAACCAACAACUUCUGUAAGCAACACAGUUGCAGCAGCGAAGAUAGAAAUUGGAGGCGAUGAAUCAAGUCCAACAGGUUUUGAAGGCAAAGAGAAAAGCUGCAAACGCCCAGUGAGUGAUCGUCUCAAGUCCAUCAACCGUCCAGCAUGUCCCCCUUUUAAAUUUUCUAAAUUCCUAUGUUUUACCUAUUUUGAACUUUGUUUAUUUUCCUUUUAUUUUUGAAAACUACUUCUCAAUAGGAAGACGACCAAUAUCUUAUAUAAUAAAGGCAUUAUUUACAGAAUA
Brassica rapa (field mustard) is the source of this 1494-nucleotide long non-coding RNA. RefSeq lists it as uncharacterized. NCBI's taxonomy places the organism in Eukaryota, Viridiplantae, Streptophyta, Magnoliopsida, Brassicales, Brassicaceae. The record is from RefSeq and is a predicted model, not a curated record.